Molecule: long non-coding RNA, 497 nt
Filed under: Astyanax mexicanus (Mexican tetra)
Lineage: Eukaryota; Metazoa; Chordata; Actinopteri; Characiformes; Acestrorhamphidae
Description: lncRNA (ENSAMXG00005009563.1)
Source: RNAcentral
AGUACCCUACAGUAAAGUGAUGCUCUUAUUUUAGUAAUUAAAAUGAUUCUCUUUUCUCCUUCUUGAUCAGCUGGAGAUAAUGAUGAUAAUAAUAAUUAUGGUGGUGAUGAUGGUGAUGAUGGUGAUGAUGAUGAAGGUCAGGACAGACUGUCUGUAGGACUGAAGCCAACUGAAGGAAGAUGCACUAAAUCAAUGGAAUUACCUCCGCCAAUGGGUAAUACUAAUUAUUCUAUUAUUAGCUGCUGUUCAGUGAAUUAUUUACUGAGAUUAAGAGAUGCAGAAAAUGAGUAAUAUUAUUUUUUAUUUAGCUGGUGAUGAUGAUGAUGAUGAUGGUGAUGAUGGUCAGAACAGACUGGUUGCAGGACUGACUCCAGCUAAACAAAGCUGGAAUUCCAGGAAUGUCUCCACUCCCAAUCUGGCUUUGAUGAGCUUUGAUGAGUAAAGAAGUGAAAAUUCAGCGAAAGAUCCAUUACUCACCUGCAGUGCCUCGCACCAAU